This is a long non-coding RNA of Helianthus annuus (common sunflower), 301 nucleotides long. RefSeq lists it as uncharacterized. The record is from RefSeq and is a predicted model, not a curated record. NCBI's taxonomy places the organism in Eukaryota, Viridiplantae, Streptophyta, Magnoliopsida, Asterales, Asteraceae. The transcript is spliced from 2 exons.
CCAAAAGAUGCUCCAGAGAUCUGGUUGAAGAUGUUCGAUAUUGAAGAUGAUGUUUUUCAGAUGACGGUUCAAUGUUGAAGAUAAUCCAAAAGAUGUUGAAGAUGUUCCAGAUCUAAAAGAUCCCCCAGAUCAAUAAAGUGACGUGAAGCAUGGUGUGGUUCAUAUGACGGUUCGAUGUUUUAGAUCUGAAGCAUUUAGUUCUUGUUUUCUGGAUAUGUUGUUUUUUAUUACUGAUUUUUUCAUUUUUUUUGUGUAAAAUUUGUUUUCAGAUAUGAAACAAUUUGAUUUAAGUUCUUAUGUA